This is a non-coding RNA of Pelobates cultripes (western spadefoot toad), 315 nucleotides long. The record is from the annotation of a GenBank genome assembly. Lineage: Eukaryota; Metazoa; Chordata; Amphibia; Anura; Pelobatidae.
CUAGAGAUCUGAAUGUUUACAUAUGUUUUUCCUUUAAGAAGGCUGUCAGAAAUUUAUACUUAAGUGUCAUGUGGCUACAUGUGCAGCUGCUCACAAUCGCAGGCGGCCAUGUUUUUAAAGGGCCAUGAGGAGGGAAAUUGCAGAUUUGCAUAAACUGGGUUAUUCAGUUAAGUGUAAACUGUCAGGAAUUAAAAGUGACCCUCGAGUUCUAGGCCAAAAUAAUGAAAUGGAAAAUUCUCUACCACAUAUUCAGCUAUUUUGGUUUACAAUUUACACAUUUCUUGAUACAGUGAUAAAUCUGACUGCCAUUCUGGC